RNAcentral lists this ribosomal RNA (232 nucleotides) under uncultured Lactobacillus sp. RNAcentral's name for it is "partial 16S ribosomal RNA". It matches the Rfam family "Bacterial small subunit ribosomal RNA", at positions 127 to 355 of the family's 1533-position model. The record is from RNAcentral. Lineage: Bacteria; Bacillati; Bacillota; Bacilli; Lactobacillales; Lactobacillaceae.
UGCCCUGAAGUGGGGAUAACAUCUGGAACAGGUGCUAAUACCGCAUAACAACGAAAACCACAUGGUUUCGUUCAAAGAUGGUUUCGGCUAUCACUUCAGGAUGGGCCCGCGGUGCAUUAGCUAGUUGGUAAGGUAACGGCUUACCAAGGCAAUGAUGCAUAGCCGAGUUGAGAGACUGAUCGGCCACAAUGGAACUGAGACACGGUCCAUACUCCUACGGGAGGCAGCAGCA